CCUACGGGGGGCUGCAGUGGGGAAUCUUGCACAAUGGAGGGAACUCUGAUGCAGCGACGUCGCGUGAACGAUGAAGGCUUUCGAGUCGUAAAGUUCUGUCCUAUGGGACGAUAAUGACGGUACCAUAGGAGGAAGCCCCGGCUAACUACGUGCCAGCAGCCGCGGUAAUACGUAGGGGGCGAACGUUGUCCGGAUUUAUUGGGCGUAAAGGGUACGCAGGCGGCCAUGUAAGUCAGAUGUGAAAUCCUAGGGCUUAACCCUAGUUAGCAUUUGAAACUGUGUGGCUUGAGUUAAGGAGAGGAAAGUGGAAUUCCUAGUGUAGCGGUGAAAUGCGUAGAUAUUAGGAGGAAUACCAGUGGCGAAGGCGACUUUCUGGACUUAUACUGACGCUGAGGUACGAAAGCGUGGGGAGCAAACAGGAUUAGAUACCCUAGUAGUC
RNAcentral lists this ribosomal RNA (439 nucleotides) under uncultured Clostridium sp. RNAcentral describes it as "bacterial SSU rRNA". It matches the Rfam family "Bacterial small subunit ribosomal RNA", at positions 338 to 795 of the family's 1533-position model. The record is from RNAcentral. Lineage: Bacteria; Bacillati; Bacillota; Clostridia; Eubacteriales; Clostridiaceae.